Molecule: ribosomal RNA, 417 nt
Filed under: Triticum aestivum (bread wheat)
Lineage: Eukaryota; Viridiplantae; Streptophyta; Magnoliopsida; Poales; Poaceae
Description: partial small subunit ribosomal RNA
Source: RNAcentral
AUUCCAAUUGAGGAGAGCAAGGAGGAAAUGCUAUCUCUGCAUCGGUUCGAUCGAAGGAACAAUCAGGAUAUAUCGGAUUGGGCAAACAAACACCGUGCAUGGAUAGAAAUUUGGAAUCAAAGAGACAUGUUAGUGCAAUCAGAGAAUAGACCUCACAAUCAGUCAUCAUAUCAGAAGUAUCAAGUGUGGUAUGCGGAUCGUUACCGGUUAAAGCUGAAGCCUGGUUGGACUCAUGAGGAGUGGUCGGAGUUGGUGUCUGAAGACCCGGAGACUGCACAAGGUUAUCAAACCUUCAACACGGCUGUGAGAGACACCAGAGGGGCUCACGUUGACUAUGCACCGAUGCAUGAUGAAAUGGUAGUCUGUUUGACCUAUUCUAACAUACUUGCAUCAUGUUGUCUUCUUUCAAAUACAUAA